RNAcentral lists this ribosomal RNA (692 nucleotides) under uncultured bacterium. Its description in RNAcentral is "bacterial SSU rRNA". It matches the Rfam family "Bacterial small subunit ribosomal RNA", at positions 620 to 1315 of the family's 1533-position model. The record is from RNAcentral.
AGUGCCGUUGAUACUGUGAGGCUAGGAUUUGGUUGCUGUGGGUGGAAUGUGUGGUGUAGCGGUGAAAUGCUUAGAGAUCACACAGAAUAUCGAUUGCGAAGGCAGCUCACAAAGCCAAGAUUGACGCUGAGGCACGAAAGUGUGGGGAUCAAACAGGAUUAGAUACCCUGGUAGUCCACACUGUAAACGAUGAUAACUCGCUGUCGGCGAUAUACAGUCGGUGGCCAAGCGAAAGCGAUAAGUUAUCCACCUGGGGAGUACGACCGCAAGGUUGAAACUCAAAGGAAUUGACGGGGGCCCGCACAAGCGGAGGAACAUGUGGUUUAAUUCGAUGAUACGCGAGGAACCUUACCCGGGCUCGAACGGUGCAGGAAUAUGGUAGAGAUAUCAUAGCUAGCAAUAGUCUGUAUCGAGGUGCUGCAUGGUUGUCGUCAGCUCGUGCCGUGAGGUGUCGGCUUAAGUGCCAUAACGAGCGCAACCCUUGUCAUUAGUUACCAUCAGGUCAAGCUGGGGACUCUAAUGAGACUGCCACCGUAAGGUGAGAGGAAGGGGGGGAUGACGUCAAAUCAGCACGGCCCUUAUGUCCGGGGCGACACACGUGUUACAAUGGGGGGUACAGAGGGCAGCCAUCCCGGCGACGGAGCGCCAAUCUCAAAAACCCUUCUCAGUUCGGAUUGGAGUCUGCAACCCGA